RNAcentral lists this long non-coding RNA (199 nucleotides) under Elaeis guineensis (African oil palm). Its description in RNAcentral is "long non-coding RNA (EGUI_LNC007960)". The record is from RNAcentral. Lineage: Eukaryota; Viridiplantae; Streptophyta; Magnoliopsida; Arecales; Arecaceae.
UAGUGAAGGAAAGAGUGGCAAUUCUAUGCAUGUACUUUUAAAAUUUUCACAGUGGAUUAUCUGAGAUUAAACACUUUAACCUAUUUUACAUACAUAAGAUUUAAUCUAAACUACCAUUUCAAGAUCUAUGAUAUGAUUUAAUAUGAAUUUAAGAUCCAAAAAUUAAAAAUCUACAUCGAUCUAAUCGAUGCUCUAGACU